Salvelinus sp. IW2-2015 is the source of this 1640-nucleotide long non-coding RNA. RefSeq lists it as uncharacterized. Lineage: Eukaryota; Metazoa; Chordata; Actinopteri; Salmoniformes; Salmonidae. The record is from RefSeq and is a predicted model, not a curated record.
AAAAAAGAAAGAUGAGCGUUGCUGAGUAAGUAGUGUCUGUGGCCACGCUCGAUACUGCCAACGACUUUAAAGGUAAAUUGAGACUGACUGCUCUAUAAAUCACCUUUCAUCCUAAAUAACUUCUCAACAUUAUUUGUAUAUCAGUCAGUCAUCAUUUACCCAUGAGACAUCACGUGUUUGACGCUCUCGAACACAGUUGUCACGCACAUGCGCAAACGAUGGUCUAAUACAAUUGCAAUUUGACGAAGCAUUGCAUCACCCUUCAAUUUUAAACAAGUACCAAGCGGCCAGAAAUAUGUACAUUUCUAUGUUAUAUAUUUGACAGAAAUAGUUUAAUAUAUCUGGACUCUGAGCCAGGGCGUCGAAAGGGGUUACAUUCACAUCGCUUGGAUUGAGCAUAUGAGGGCUAAAUGUUAAAGCAAUUGCCACCUAUCCAACAAUUUCAUUAGAUAACGAAUCUAAGUAACGUCUUCAUUCAAUGGUUCGUUGGUUUGAUCUUUACAGUAGACAACAUUAUUGUAUACAUUGUAGCCUAUGGCAGGCUUGUAGACCUAAUCUCGUGUGCGUUAACAGGAUUGGUCCAGUUUUAUUCUAGUGAAGGCACCAGACUAAGGGUUAAAGCGCACCACAAACUGAAAACAGAAAAGGGCCACUUUACAGGCCAGUGCAUUCUUUAUGGGACUGUUGAGUACAACACAUUUGGCCUGGUCCUGGAGAGCCCCAGCCAUCUCUCCCUCCGCUACUUUGUGUAAGCCAUCUCUGUAUCUGUGGCAAUCUACUGGUUCUACACCAGCUGUGUGGAAGAGAAGGUCAAGAGCUCCUAUCCUGCAUCCCCAGGGAAAGACUGUGGCUGAAUGUCACUCUGGGCAUGUGUGUGAAGAUAUUGUUCUUACUGGCGGUGUCAGGGACCGCCUCUUUCUGUCUGCCCUUCAAAACGUGCCCUCCAUAACCAGUCGUGAUGAAGCAGACCAUAAAACCUGAGUCAGUCCCUUCGAUGGGAAUCAGUUCUACACAGGCGUGUAUAAUGCAGAGAGGUCUGCCCUGACACUAUCCAUAUCAUGAUGACACAUCAAAACGCUGUUGCCUUAUUAGACCACAGAUACUUUUUUAUAGCCCUUGUAUUGACAUUUUUAUUUAAAGCCAUAUUGUAUUCUUAAUCUGUCCUCUAUUUCUUUGUCUUUCCCAGAAGUCUGUGUGGGUGAACUUCUUCUUCUGGGUGCUGAUCGUGGCGGUGGUGUUUGUCCAGAAACAUCAGGGGUCAGGGUCAGAAUGGAGCACGUCUGAAACAGAACUCUUCUUCCACCGACCUGUCUGACCCCACUGACCUAACCUAUAGCCCGAUGGGUUCCAUUAUGUGUCUUUGGAUCCAGUUCCCUGCAUGCAAGAACCUAUUAUUGGCCCAAGAUCAAAUAACAGGGGCUUGUAAAACAGGAUGUUUCGGUCAUCAAUGGGGCAACCUAACUACAACAUGUUUUCACUAUGGAAUAGUGGGAAGUACAAUUAACUUUGGAAGUAACCUCUUCCAUUUUUGUAUACUUAAAUCAAUUAGUUACACAAUUCAGUCCCUUCCUGAUAUAUAGGAUGAUCUGUUCAAAUUAUACUGUACUGAUAUGUACGUCUGUGAAAGACAAAACAUUUCC